This 15401-nucleotide long non-coding RNA is filed under the name Sorghum bicolor (sorghum). RNAcentral's name for it is "long non-coding RNA (SBIC_LNC013757)". Lineage: Eukaryota; Viridiplantae; Streptophyta; Magnoliopsida; Poales; Poaceae. The record is from RNAcentral.
GAUGCAGUGGUUAGGGAGAGAUAUACGCGAAAGGAAGGUCAUGGCUUUGAAACUCAUCGGUCUUGUAGCCGCAUAUUUUGCGCGAAAAAUGCCGCGACUUCAACGAGACUGGUGGGGACCUCCCUCAAAAAAAAUAUUUUCUAUUUUUUAGUUUUUUUAUUUCAGUCUUUACCGAGUGCCUAAAAAAUAGCACUCGACAAAGAUCAUUUUGCCGACGAAAAAUUUUCCGUGUGGUCUUUGUCAAGUGUGGAACUCGAUAAAUGCUUUGCCGAGUGCCAAAACACCAGAGUCUGGUAGUGAAUGAUAGUUUUUGUAUUGUGAGUGCCCUUAGUUAUAUAUAUGGAUGAGACCUAGACACUAUCUCUCAAUAAAGUUGUCUUGUUGUACCUUAAAAUAAGUGCAUGGCAGAGGUCAUAAACCGUGCUGGAUGAUUUUUUUUAAGCUCAUUUAGGUGCUGAAAUAAUCAUGAAAACUUUAAUUAGAACAUAAAGUGUCGAGAGUAAAGUUACAUGAACUCUCCAAAUCACACACGUUUGGAAGGCUACGAAGGGGAAGGCUUUUAGGACUUGUGUACUUUAAACAAAGCACACGACCCUUGACUUAUGAGUAGAAAAAUCUCCAAAGAUGAUGAGGAUCAGCGGUAACAGGGAAAAAAAUCCUUCGACUGACUUCUCCACCUGUUCCAAUUUGGUUUUUCAUUAUUUAUCUACUAUAUUCCUAUGUUUAUUUUGGUGCAUUUGAUGUGGCUAGCAAAUAAGGCCUUCUUUAAUUCGCGAAGAUUUUUGGAUUUGGUUAGUGUAGCACUUUCGUUUGUAUUUAGUAAUUAUUAUCGAACCGUAGAUUAACUGGGCUCAAAUAAUUCGUCUUGCAAAUUAUAGGUAAACUAUGUAAUUAGUUUUUUUAUCUAUAUUUAAUGUUUUAUGUAUGCGUGCAAGAAUUCGAUAUGACGAGAAACUUUAAAAAAUUUUAAGAACUAAACAAAGCCUAAGUACUUCGUCAAAUAUGAACAUCCUGCGAUCCUGUCCCUGUCUCCAUCUGAAAAAAGCACGCAAACGCAAGGACGGACAGAGCCGAAGACCCUCGGUCAAGCAAUUGCAAACAAAAUCAGAAAGUUUCCCGGUAUUACAUUAGGAAACUACCUGUCCCCUGAUGUCGUCGUCAAAACUAAGCACCCAGAAGUCCAAGUCGUUUAACAAAUAUAGUAAAAAAAAGGCCCGUACAUACUAUCUGUGGGAAAAAUCGAGACACCGAUCGUCCCAUAUCCUUGCGUACUUUUUUUUCUCAAUUAUUUGUUCUGAGUUGAAUGGGUCAAUAAAUAAAUAAAUUGGACACGGAAUAGGCGCAGCUCGUCUUGCUAUAAUACGCCGGCCUCUAUAAAGCCCAUAGUAGCAGCCGGCCAACCUCUCUGUCUACUACUACUGUGUGCUAUAGCCGUCUACCCAACUAGGACGUCACAACUCACAUCUUGCUAGUACCGGGCGUGGCCAUGUCGCCGAGGGCGAUCGCCUGGUUGCUGGCUCUCUUCCUCGUCCUCGCGCUGAUCGUCUCAGGUGCGCCACAUGAGAUGUCCACUGCAUCAUCGAGGAGGGCUUUGGCGGAAGCGGGACAGUCAGGGGAACCUUUAGGCUGCUGCAGCGGCGGCCGCGGCGCUGGUUCACAGCAGCAGCGCUGCCCUCGACAAAAGUGCCCUCCUCCAAGGGGCCGAUGAUAACUGGACGUCAAACUUCCAGUAAUCAUCCAUAUUAGUUUUUAAGUGUAUGUAUGUUUUCAGAACAAGUGUGUCCUUUGUUUUCUUAUUAUACAAGUCAUGCUUCAUGGCGACGUUACUUGUCAUGAUCCUAUGAAUUUACUUUUAGUACAUUCGGGUCCAAGUUCAAUGAAGUAAAUUAUCAGGAUCCAGAGUUCCGUGAGUGAGACGUUGUAAUAUUAAGUUUGUUCCAAUUUAUAUACUAUAAUACUUCUAUACCUAAUACUCCCUUCGUCUACGAAAGAGUCAGUUUCUAAAAUUAUCCUAAGUGAAACUUUUUAAACUUUGACCAAAUUUAUAAAAAAAUGCUAAGAUUAUGGUAUCAAAUUAGUAUCAUUACAUUCAUCAUAGAAUAUAUUUUCAUAUGAUGCGCAUUUUAUGUCAUAAAUGUUGUUACUCUUUUCUAUAAAAUUAGUCAAACUUAAAAAAGUUUAACUGGCAUGGAUUUUAGGAAUUGAUCCUUUCGUACACGGAGGGAGUACUAAAAAGUGAAAAUUUCAUCCCAUUUUUUUGUGUUUGACCUCCCCAGCCCCCCAAGAACUAUAGUGCAAAAUUUCUUCCAUCUCAAUUACACUCUUCGUGUCUGCUAUGUGACCCGAACUUAUAUCACUCAUGCUCAUACAAGUUAUGCAACUCGGAUCUAGCGUUGAUGCGUACUCUGAUUUUAAGACAUACUAAGUCACACUCUCUAUCUCAUGUGACCUAGACUCAUGAGCGGUGCUCAUACCAGUGAGAAUGACUUCCACCUAGCUAGCGAUGGUAUGUAGUCUCAUUUCAAUAUGUAUUAGAUUUUAUUGUAACACAGACAUAUUUACUAGUAUAUUAUUAAAUAAGAAAAAUUUCUCCACAUAAGAUAUCACUACGUGAAAAACUUAGUAAGAGAGCGCCCCCCACACUGUAGGGGCGGCUAACAUUUGAACCGCUCUUACAGUGGCUAGGCAGGCAACCAGGAAGUGAGCCGCCUUUGCAGUGUUCUCUGUAGGGGCAGUUGAUCUUACCAGCCGCCCUUACAGUGGGGGAGGCACUGUAGGGGCGGCUGUAGCAUAAGUGGUCAGCCCACUCUUCUUCCUCUCCGAGCCACUCAUUUUCACUCGCAAAAAAACGCUUGGGAGGCUUUGGGCACCUCCCUAAAAUCACUCUAGUAAGGGGGAGAGGUUUUGAACUCCUUUGGUGGGGAGCUUGUUUAAGGUAAGAAACUGCUAUUCCCACCCUCUAAUCCUUAUUGGUUAGUUAGUGAGCAAUUUACAUUUUGGUUUUCUCUCUCUUCCAUGGAGCUUGAGCUUUGUGUUGACCAAAUUAGAGCUUAUCUAUGAUGCUAUUAGUGUAGAAUAGGUAGAGACACCACCUUGCACCAUCAAUUAGGUGAUAUAGCUUGAUUUUAAUGGAGAUUAAUUGUAGUUUCAUGUAUGGAGAGAAAAGGCAUUCUAGAUCUAGGGUUUCUUUUUUUGUUUUUGUUUCAUAAAAUUGGAAUGUGGUUGGCAUAAAUAGUUAUUGGUAAACUAAUAGUUGUUGCUAAUAUUAAUUGUUUCUAAUAAUGGUAGAUAAUAAUAGGUACUAUUAAUUAUGUCUAAUAAUCGUUUCUAACACAAUUAUUGCUAAUAAUGAUAGCUAAUAAUUGUUGCUAAUAAUGGUAGAUAAUAAUUGUUACCUAUUAAUUGUUGCUAAUAAUGGUAGAUAAUAAUUGGUGCUAUUAAUUAUUUCUAAUAAUCGUUUCUAACACAAUUAUUGCUAAUAAUGAUAGCUAAUAAUUGUUGCUAAUAAUGGUAGAUAAUAAUUGUUACUUAUUAAUUGCUGCUAGUAAUUAUUCUCAAGUAAUUAAUUUUUUUUAUUUAUGUAAAGAUGGAGAAUAGGGCUACUUGGAUGUAUGGUUUGCCAAGGUACUCGCAAGCCUAUGCUGAUGAGGUGGACAAAUUUAUUACUGUCGUGGUGAAUCAUGCAAAGACGUUGUCAGCAGGAAAUAAUUGUUCAGUUAUUUGUCCCUGUAAAGAUUGCAAGAACCAUUUAGCAACUUAUGAUGUGGAAAUCAUCAGAUCACAUCUGAUUAGGCGAGGAUUUGUUCUGAACUACACAGUAUGGCUUCAUUAUGGUGAAGUAAUGUUUCUUGACGGCAACGAUGAUGACCAAGAAGAUGAUGCUGAAGAAGGCCAAUUGUUGUCCCAAUACGCAGACAUGUUUGAAGCACAAAUGCAACAUGAUUUAGCCAAUGAACAAGCACGUGGUGAUGAUGCCGGUGGUGUCGACAAUAAUGAUGGGGAUGUUGGUGGUGUUGACAAUAAUGAUGCUGGAAUAUGUGAGUGGGAUGCAGAAAACUUUGACAACUUAGAGGAAAUGCUUCGUGCCAUUGGACCAGAAAUACUACAACAGAAGAAGGGUCUAGAAAAUCUAGAGCGGAUGAAAACAGCGUCAAAGGAGACUGUGUAAUGUGUUGACAAGGGCUGUCCAACACACUAGACACUCCUCUAUUUUGUGCUUGAGCUACUCAUCCUGAAGGCUAAGUACGGUUGGUCAGACUGCAGUUUUGACAAUCUGUUGCAUCUUCUGUCAUCUAUGCUGCCACUGUCGAACUUAGUUCCCUCCAACACAUACCAUGCUAAGAAGCUCAUAAGUCCAUUGACAAUAGGUGUUGAAAAGAUCCAUGCAUGCCCCAACCAUUGUAUCCUUUUUCGUGGUAAAACUUUCGAAGGUCUGGAUAAAUGUCCUCGUUGUGGGGCAAGUCGGUACAAGGAUAAUGACCUUUGUAGUGGCGGAGAAGCCUCCACCGGGAACAAGAGGAGUAAGAAGGGUUCCAAAAAGGCGGUACAAGAAUCUCGACCUCCAGAGGACACCCCAUUAGGCAACGACGCAAAGAAGAGAAAAAUUCCUGCCUUGGUAAUGUGGUAUCUGCCAGUGACCAACCGCUUGAGGCAUAUUUUCCUGAACCCUAAGGAAGCCGCGUUCAUGACAUGGUGGGACGAUGAGCGCAAGGUCGAUGACGAUGUGAUUGCACACCCGGCCGAUGGCAGUCAGUGGCAGGACUUUGAUAAUAACAACCCACUGUUCAGUUCGGACCCAAGGAAUGUACGGUUUGCCUUGAGCACCGAUGGAAUGAAUCCCUUCAACGAGAGGACGAGCAACCAUAGCACAUGGCCAGUGAUCUUAACCAUGUGUAAUACCUGAUUUUAAGGACAAAAUCAGAUAUCCACCAUAUGUGAGUUUUAGAAGUCAAAUCCCACAUAUAGCUACAAAUAAGGGGUAAUAUCAAAAGACAAUGCAUAAAUAUAUAACGUACUUAGUAUAAAAGAGAUAACCUUUGAUAGCAACAGCGGAUAAACAACUCCAAACUUCGGGUAUUAACUUCUCUCUACAGGAUCCAACUGACUGGUUGAUCACAAGCCUAAACUUCUCCUGAGGUUUGGGGGAAAUAGCAAGAGUGAGUCCAUGUCAAACUCCACAAGUAUAGCAACUAGAUUGUAUAUAUCCCACAAUCUCAUGAUCAAUGUGACAUAAAUAAUGUAGAGCAUUAAACAAUAAAUAUGAGCAUAUUAACACAACAAGAAUCAUCACCCUUAAUGUAGAUGUCCCCAAGGCCGCUCCUGGCCAUGAGCUCGGCUAGUAUACUAGUUUCUAACACUCUGCAGAGGUUGUACAUCUUUACCCAUGAGUCAUGAUUUACCCUUUCGCCCGAGGUAGCUAAUCUCUUAACCCCUUCCUAGGGAGGUCGGCAGGGAUCACUAUGAAGCCUUUCAAAGAUUUCGUCUAACAAGUUAGGGUCAUUAGAUUCACUCGGCAGGCAGAUAUAGAGCCCCCUUCCAUGGCACAUAACCCGCAGCCUAUACACACGGACAGAGGCCACACUAUACCCAACGUGUCUAGCCAUUCUUACGCCAUUUAAGGUAACCGCUAACAAGCUAGAAAAAGGUCCUCAUACUGAGCUAAAGCCAGAGCCAUUAUAGCCCUCAUGGUUGCACUGUUAUCCCGGGUGAUCACGUACAGGCAAAUCAUCUAGUUGCUAAAAAGUCAUUUUUAUCAUUUAUUACUUAACAUUAAUCUAGUCACAGGAUCAUGGUCACAGAAAUAAAAUCCCAAUGCUAUACUUACUUUAAUCCAAAUGCUCUUGUUGAUCCUUUUAGUCCUACUGGUCUUACUUGAUGCCAAAGCUCUGAUCUUGAUCACCAAAAACUGCUUUCCGUCUAAACUCGAUCAUCGAUCACACAUACAAGCGGAAACAAACAUACACGAAGCAAACAAAGCUACAAUUAGAACAGUACACCAAUCAUAUAAAAACAAUAUUAAAAAUUUUGUAAAAUGAUUCUACGCAUCGCUACGAUCUCACAGACAUAAAGAUCGCGAAAAUCGGAGCUAAAACGGAAAAGUUAUGAAUUUUCUAAGAUUUUAUAUAUAAAAGUAAUUAAUUAAAUAGGAUCACGAAAUUAAAAGGUUUCAAACUGAGUAAACAAUAUUAUUAACAUGUAUAGCUCAUGAUUAUGAACCUAACGCAAUUUGAAUGGGUCAAAUCGGAUUUAAAAUGAGCAUUCUAUGUCUAAAACAAAAUCAAUGGCAGUUUUGUAAAUACAGAAAACGUAUUUCAAAAUACACUGAGUCGGUUUACGCUUUCAUAUAAUGGAAAACACAUUUUGCUGAGUACGCUGAGGGACUGCGGGUUUAUACUUAAAAAGGGAAGGGGGUCUUUAGAAAAAUUUCAAGUGAAGGGGUAAGAUCUGUUCUCAUCCGUUGAUCUGAUAUCCGAAGGUGGAGAUGGAUCCAGGGAGCUGGGUAGUGGCCGGCGGUGAUCUCCCGCGGUGGGGCGCCAUGGCCGACGUCAUGAGCUCGCCGGAGUUCAUAGAAAAAAUGCGCUACGGUCCACUAUUCGCUAAACCGAUAGCAUGGGGAGACAGAGGGGGAAACGACGAACUCACCCCGAGGCAAAAUCGAAGGCAAGGACAACUCGGAGAUGACCGACGUUGUGAUUUGGCGAAUCCUGGGUCCCUGCGAGGUUCGGCGAUCAUCUGAGAAGGACAGGGGCUGGUAGAGUGCUCGGAAAGAGGAUCGGGAGCUUCUUUACCAAGUUGUGAAGCCCGGCCACUGCUCAAAUUCGACGGCACGACCGUGUAUAAGGCGCUCCGCGGCGGCGGCUUCCUGUGCUUUUCGGCAAGAUCCAAAAUAGGAUUAGGCGUUCUCGCGAUGACCAAGCAAGGAAAAGAAACACGGAGGGAAGGCUGGGGAACGUAUAUAGGCAGGGGCGAUCUUCUCACAGGAAAAUCCCGUGGAACUCGGGAUUUGGUUCUCGUUCGCUCGGGCCGUGUCCUGCUUGACACGCGAACAAGAAGAAGGAAAGGGGAAGGAGAUGCUGACGGCUAUGUCCCACUGGUCAGCGACACAAGGGGUGGGGUCGGCCUGUCGGUGAGAAGGGGGAAAAGGAGGAAAGAGGCGCGGGGGGCAGGCUGGGCUUCGCGGCCCAGGAAAAAGGAGAGGGGGAGGUUUUUCCUUUUCUUUUGUUUUUUCUUUCUCUUUUAUUCCAAAAGGCAAUUGAAACUCAUUUCAAAAUCUUUCUAAAUCAUUUUGAAUUUUUAGUUCAAAAACACUCAGCACAAUAAAUAAAAAUGCAUAAGCAUGAGUGCACAAAAAUGUUGCUACACCCUAUGAUUAAUUUUAAUUGACGAAAAAUAUUAUUGUUCCUAUAUUUUCAUGAGCACAAAAUACACAAUUAAAUCAUUUUUCUCCUAUUUUAAAAGUUGUAAAUUUUUGGGUGUUACAAAUCUACCCCCCUUAAAAUGAUCUCGUCCUCGAGAUUCGGAAGAGACACGGAAUCCAAAAGAGAAACAGGAAAAAGAUCUUGAUAACUAUUUUAACUUCACAACUUGUAUUCCAAUGUAAACACUUAUGUCUCGGGAUCACAACUGGUGAACAAAACAUCCAUAAAAUGUCUAUUAUUCAUAGCUGAUUAAAAAACCAUCUUGACUACCAACUUUUUGGAUUAUACAACUCAAAGACAUGAUAACUUAGCAUAGAUAUGCCUCCUCAUGUAGGAGUGGACCAUCUUGAUACUCAAUUCUUUUCCCUGAUGGUGCGGUUAAGAAAAGUUUCCACUGGGUAGCAUAGAUCACUGCCUUGUGUGCACAUAACCAUCCAUUGCCAAGAACCAAAGGAAUAUUGAGUGACUCUAGCACAAUAGGGUUUACUGUGAAGUUCUCCUUGCUUAUGACUAGAUUAAUAUUCGAGCAAACCUGGUCUGCCUGUAUUUCUCCCUUUGGAGUUUGAACUAACAAAAGCUUCCUUGUUGGACACUUCACCCGCUCAAUUGUUUUUACCAAGUUGGCAGAAAUGAAAGAAUGGGAAGCACUUCUGUCAAACAGAGCAAAAACCAACACUGAGUCCACUUGAACAUAACCACCCACCACUUUGGUGACUCCUUGAAUGUUAUUCAUAUCCAUAUUGUUCAGUCUUCCAUUGAUAUAAUUUUGUUGUACUUUAUUUCCGUGAGCAGUCUUCUUACGGGCUUUCCUUUUUUGCUUCCGUCGUUGUGGAUUCUGAUUUGAUUCAAUGUCAACUUGCUCUUCCGUAUUAUUACUUUGAUAACACUCAGCUUUGUCAUACUCAUAGCAUCUUUCUUCAAAGGCAAGAUGAUCAUAUUCUUCCCACCUAUCCAUGAGAGGUGUCAUAUUGUGCUCCGGAUUCAUGGGACACUACACUCCCUGUCAUCAAGUGACCAACGUCAGUAACACGAUAAGGAUAGAUGAUCAUAACCAUAGAAUAUCUCAGAAGACAAUUAUCACUUCAAGCUAGUUUUAAAAUGCAUCAUCCGUGAUAUCAAGGUACUACCCUCUUAAAAUUAGAUUGAUUGGGGGACACUAGAGACUAGUUCUCCUAUCCUUUUUGGACGCUACACAUCAUAGUCUUUUAAAUUUGCUUGUACCGAGUAUCUUGAUCCAAGGUUGGUUUCAUCACUAAGUUCCAUUUAUCGGUACCUUAGUCAUGGUUAAGUUGCUUCACUCUCACGUUGUACAUAUAGCUUUGUAGACUUUGGUGUCAUCUGAUCCUCAUAAACACAACUCUCAAUCCAUGAGUAUCAGCAAUGACAUAUAUCUCUGUUAGUAUUCUCUCAAUGGGAUGAUAUCUUGAAUCAAACCAAUUUACCAAGCGCUUGUGAUCCUCACAUAUGAUCCAACAUUAGCCAAUCCUUCUCAUUGUAACUCCUUUAAUUAGGCUACCCUCCUUAAAAGGGUCAACUAGGGGACACAAGAAAGGUAGCUCGCAUGUUUUCCAGGCAAUUUAACUAACAUUAAGAACUUCUGACAUCCCAAAGAGCUUAUGUGCAAGAGAAUAAACAUGUAUCCUGAAGUUUUCCCGCGAUAUGAAAAACACCAGCAUAGAAAAACAGGUAUAACUCCCAUUCUGUUAAUCUAAUAGAGUUAUAGAUUAUAAGUUUUGUGAAAAAUAUUAGAAUCAACAUGUCGGAUGAACAAAUGACUAAACAACCACAAUAAACUUUAUAGAUCUUAAGAAGUUAUAAAAUUUACAGUUGGCAACUUUUUCAUUUGUGUUUAUUUUGUCAUGCAAAACUGCGUCUUUAUUUGAAAUUUUUCAAACGAUCUUGGAUAGAAAAACUUCCUGAAUAAACUAUGUAGCUCUUGAAAAAUUAUGAAACUUUGUACAUGACAAUGUUUUGAUUUGAAAUCAUCUUGUCAUGCAAAAACUACAUUUGAAUUUCUCAAAGUUAAAAUUCAAAAUUUGUAAACUACCUCGGAUGGAGAAACUCUCUAAAUGAAAAUUAUAGAUCUCAAAAAGUUAUGAAACUUUGUUGUUGACAACUUUUUGAUUUGAAAUCGUUUAGGUCCUUAAACAAUCAUUUCACACGUGGUUUGGUAUAAUAUACGAGGAACUAAAAUGCAAUAUAGACACAAGUGAUAGUGUGAUGCAGUGGUUAGGGAGAGAUAUACGCGUAAGGAAGGUCAUGGCUUUGAAACUCAUCGGUCUUGUAGCCGCAUAUUUUGCGCGAAAAAUGCCGCAACUUCAACGGAGACAGGUGGGGACCUCCCUCAAAAAAAUAUUUUCUAUUUUUUUAGUUUUUUUUUCAUUUCAGUCUUUACCGAGUGCCUAAAAAAUAGCACUCGACAAAGAUCAUUUUGGCGACGAAAAAUUUUCGGUGUGGUCUUUGUCAAGUGUAGAACUCGAUAAAUGCUUUGCCGAGUGCCAAAACACCAGAGUCUGGUAGUGAAUGAUAGUUUUUUUAUUGUGAGUGCUCUUAGUUAUAUAUAUGGAUGAGACCUAGACACUAUCUCUCAAUAAAGUUGUCUUGUUCUACCUUAAAAUAAGUGCAUGGCAGAGGUCAUAAACCGUGCUGGAUGAUUUUUUUCAAGCUCAUUUAGGUGCUGAAAUAAUCAUGAAAAGUUUAAUUAGAACAUAAAGUGUCGAGAGUAAAGUCACAUGAACUCUCCAAAUCACACACGUUUGGAAGGCUACGAAGGGGAAGGCUUGUAGGACUGUGUACUUUAAACAAAGCACAUGACCCUUGACUUAUGAGUAGAAAAAUCUCCAAAGAUGAUGAGGAUCAGCGGUAACACAGGGAAAAAAAAAUCCUCCGACUGACUUCUCCACCUGUUCCAAUUUGGUUUUUCAUUAUUUAUCCUACUAUAUUCCUAUGUUUAUUUUGGUGUGUGCUCAUUUGAUGUGGCUGGCAAAUAAGGCCUUCUUUAGUUCGCCAAGAUUUUUGGAUUUGGUCACUGUAGCACUUUUGUUUGUAUUUAGUAAUUAUUAUCGAACCAUAGAAUAACUGGGCUCAAAUAAUUCGUCUUGCAAAUUAUAAGUAAACUAUGUAAUUAGUUUUUUUAUUUAUAUUUAAUGUUUUAUGUAUGCGUGCAAGAAUUCGAUAUGACGAGAAAUUUUAAAAAUUUUUAAGAACUAACAAGGCCUAAGUACUUCGUCAAAUAUGAACAUCCUGCGAUCCUGCCCCUAUCUCCAACUGAAAAAAGCACGCAAACGCAAGGACGGACAGAGCCGAAGACCCUCGGUCAAGCAAUUGCAAACAAAACCAGAAAGUUUCCCGGUAUUACAUUAGGAAACUACCUGUCCCCUGAUGUCGUCGUCAAAACUAAGCACCCAGAAGUCCAAGUCGUUUAACAAAUAUAGUAAAAAAAGGCCCGUACAUACUAUCUGUGGAAAAAAUCGAGACACCGAUCGUCCCAUAUCCUUGCGUACUUUUUUUCUCUCAAUUAGGGGUUGUUUAGAUGCAAAAACUUUUUGGAUUUUGAUACUAUAGCACUUUCGUUUUUACUUGACAAACAUUGUCCAAUCAUGGAGUAACUAGGCUUAAAAGAUUCGUCUCGCGAUUUACAGACAAACUGUAUAAUUAGUUUUUAUUUUUUAUCUAUAUUUAAUACUCCAUGCAUGUGCCGAAAGAUUCGAUGUGAAGGAAAAUCUUGUAAAAGUUUUAGGUUUUGAGAUGCAUCUAAACAAGGCCUUAUUUGAUCUGAGUUGAAUGCGUAAAUAAAUAAAUAAAUUAGACACGGAAUAGGCGCAGCUCGCCUUGCUAAUAAUACGCCGGCCUCUAUAAAGCCCAUAGUAGCAGCCAACAUGGGCGGCGCCAGGGGUAUGCCCCUGUAUUCCAUGGAAUAUCCAUGAUUUUUGUGAUAAAUACAAAUAUAUGUAUAUAUACACACAUAUAUAAUCAGUAUAUAUGUUAGUUUGUUGAAUGAUGUAAAUAUGUAGCCUAUAAGAGCAUCUCCAAGAGAUUAGCCAAAUCAUUUUCUAAAGGUAAAUUUGGCUAUUGUUGAAGGAAAAAUGUUUGACUCUAUUAAUAACUCUUCAAAUUUAGCAGCUCUUCAUCCCGCCUUAUUCGCUCUCUACUUUUGGAUAGCCUACCUCACUAGUCAUUCUUUUAUAGAGUCUGUUGGAGUACUCUAAUAUCUUUUUGUCAAAUCUAUUUUAGAGAGUAGCUAAAUCAGUAAAUUUGGCUAAUCUUUUUGGCUAUUCUCUUGGAGAUGCUCUAAGAGCAACUCCAAUAGUCUGGCUAAAAUUAAUUGUCAAAUUCUAUUGUUUGGCUAUUUUGUCGAAUAGAAAAUUUCUAAAAAAAUAAGAGAUCUACAAUAAUCUUGUUAUUUUACAAAGUCUUAUAGUUAGCGUCUGUAAUAAGCUAUAUAUAGCCACUGAAAAUCAAGAGAAAGCUAACUUCCUAAUUUACAAAAUUAAAUAUCAUAUUAGUUGGAGUCUACUUUUUGCUACAAAUUCUAAAAUAGCAUAAACAACAAGAAUAGUUAAACUCUUGAAGUUGCUCUAAGCCUAGUAGAACAACUAGUAGCGGCAACCCAUGAACUCAUCAGAAACAAACCCCAUCGACGGCAUUCCUCUAGCGGCGGCGGUCAGUGGUCUUUGUAGGCUUUCUCAUAUACGGCUCCCCCUCAACGCCUUUCUCAUAUACGGCUUGAAGCAAUAACAAGGUAAACAUAAAGAUCCCACAUCUAUUUUUUAUUCUUCAAAGUAAGAAUUGAAGGUUUCGUUUUCUUCUUUUUUUUGUUGCGUUCUGAUUUUUUUUAAAAAAAAUAUUGCAUUAUGUUCCUGUAACAUAGAUAAAGAAUUUAUAUACACUUUGAUUAUUACCAGGGGCGACACUAGGCUCACUUUGUCUGAUGCCUUGUUACCAGGAUAAAUAAAUAUUUUACCUAGCAUAUAUUUUAAGGAAAUUAUAUGUACUACUUGAGCUGUGCACCAGAAUUAAUUUUGUAUUAAUUUUAUCCUCUAUUAUUAUUGCACAUAUGCAUUGAAAAAUUUUUAUACGUGGAAUACCCAGCUGUGAAAUCCUGGCUCCGCCACUGGCAGCCAACCUCUCUGUGCUAUAGCCGUCUACCCAACUAGGACGUCACAACUCACAUCUAGCUAGUAUAGUAUGACGGGCGUGGUCAUGUGUAACACCCAAAAUUUGAAUUUCAAUUAAUAGGAUUUAAUUUGAAUUAUUUAAGAAUUUUAGUGAGCAUUUAACGUAGCAAAUAAACAAUUUUUGUGGAAAUUUAAAAUUUAUCAUAAGCUUAGUAACAUGAUUUUGUGCAUUCAUGCUGAGACAUAUUUUAUUUUGUGGUGAUUGUAUUUGGUUCAUAUUUAAUUGUCAUCAAAAUCCUUUUUGAAAAAGACUUUGAAAAAAAAGAGAAUAAAACAAAACAGAAAAGAAAUUGGAAAUAGGAAAAAAAAAAGAAAGGAAGCCUCCCAGGCCGCAGCCCGAGCAUCCCCUUCCCCCUCGCCUCGGCCCAGCGCGGCCCAGGAAGCCCGCGCGCUGAUCCCCUCCAGCCUGGCCCCGCAGCGCAGUGUCCUGUUCAUCUUCCCGAGCGUCACCGAGCAGGACACCAACCGGGAAGCCAAACCGAAUCCCGGGAAGUCGGGAUUUCUUGCCAAAAUCGUUUACUCGGCGCCCUAUAAAGCUCCCUAGCACCGCAGCGAACCCCUUUUGCAUCUAAAACGCGAAGCCAAGCCUUAGCCACCUAAAACCGAGCGGUUUCGGAUCUCGCCGAGAGCCAAGUCCUCCGCCGCGCGCCGCGAGCCGUUUUCAUCACCUCCCGGGUCAAGCAAAGGGUUCCAAUAAGUUCGCGGUGAGCUGUUCGUCAUCCUGGAGUUUUUCUUUCUUGAAACGGUGCUCGGAAACUAAAAGUGUGCGCCGAUGAGCUCCCGGUGACGCCCAUGGCGCGCCACCGUGCUGGAAACCGGCCGGGCUGCUGCCACUGAUUUGUUUUUCCUCAUAAAAUAUUCAUUUUAACUUCGUUUUUGUCCGUUCAAAUUUCGUUGGAUUCGUAUUUACGAGCACUACAUGUUAGAAAUAUUAGUUUACUGUUUUGAAACUUUUUAUUUUUGCAGUAGCAUUUAAUUAAUUAUUUCUCUAUAGGAAAUCUUAGAAAAUUCAUAUCUUUCACGUUUUAAUUCCGAUUUUCGUGAACUUUACGUUUGUGUGAUCGUAACGCUGCGUAGAAUAUUUUGAUAAACUUUUAUCUUUGUUUUACCACUGUUUGGUGUAAUGUUCUAAUUAUAUCUUGUUUGCUUCGUGUAUGAUUGUCUACAUUGGAAUGCGUGUUGUUGAUUGAUGAUUGGGAUUAGACGGUGAGCCGUACGUUGGUGACCAAGACCAAGCUUUUGAGGACCAGCAAGCUCAGGAGAGCUUUGAGCAAGGCAAGUAUAACUUGGGAUCAUCCUUGUUACCUAUUCACUUAAGUACAUAUAUAUCAUAUGCAUGCUAUCACCUUGUCGACCUUAGCAAAAUCAUAGAUGAUUGUUACCUGGAUUCCUUGCUACCUACUUGAUAUGUAUUUGUUGUAGAUGUGCUAGUGCUUGAUAUAAUCCAUGAUCUUGUAAAAUGAUUAAUAACUAUGCAAUGAACUUAAAAGAAUGACAAAUAACUGUAUGAGAUCUUGUCUGUAAGUGAUCACCGGGACAACAGUGCAACCAUGAGGGCUAUAAUGGCUCUGGCUUUAGCUCAGUAUGAAGCCCUUUUCUAGCUUGUUAGAGGUUAUCCGAAAGGGCGGAGGGGCUGAACCGUUUUGGGUAUAGUGUGGCCUCUGUCUGUAUGAGUAUAGGCUGCGAGUCAUUGUGCCAUCGGAAGGGGCUCUAUAUCUGCGCGCAAAGGAAACCUUGCGGCCCUAACUUGUUAGACGAACUUUUGAAAGGCUUCAUAGUGAUCCCUGCCGACCUCCCUAGGAAGGGGUUUAAGAGAUUAGCUACCUCGGGCGAAAGGGUAAAUCAUGACUCAUGGGUAAAGAUGUACAACCUCUGCAGAGUGUAAAACUGGUAUACUAGCCGUGCUCACGGUUAUGAGCGGCCUUGGGGGUUCUUGCUGCGCCGACAAUGAGCUUAUUAAGUUGUUAUGUUCAUUUGAUUAUCGUUUAUGCUAUGAGAUUAAUUAUGCUUACACUUGAUCAUGUGAUUAGUGGAUUAUCUAUGCUACAUUGGCAUUUGCUAUUUAAUUAUGAAUAUGCUAUCCACUAUUAAAAGCUAAAUGCAGUCAAACCAGUGUUAGCUAUUUGAGUCUCAUGAACCCCUGGUUAUACUCGUUGAGUACGAUAUGUGCUCACUCUUGCAAUUUCCCAACACCUCAGGAUAUGAUAAUGAAGAUGACUGGAAUGAGGAUUAUCGCUAUGAGUACUAGGUUUGGAGUCAACCAGUCAACAGUGUCCCUGUGUGGAGCUUCCGUUGAGAGCGUUGUUUACUUUAUGUUAUCAUUUUUGUAUGAGACUAUGUGAUAUUUUAUAUUCCGCUAUGUAAUAAACACUGCAAUGGUACAUUUGAGAUUUGUCUACUUAUGUGUGCGACUGUUUCUGAGGCACAUAUGAGUCUUUUAUGCAUCCUAUUUUGUUCUUAAAAUAUGGGUGUGACACCGUGUCCCGGAGGGCGAUCGCCUGGUUGCUGGCUCUCUUCGUCGUUCUCGCGCUGAUCGUCUCAGGUGCGCCACAUGAUAUGUCCACCGCAUCAUCACCGAGGAGGGCUUUGGCGGAAGCGGGACCUUUAGGCUGCUGCAGCGGCGGCCGCGUCGCUGGUUCACAGCAGCAGCGCUGCCCUCGACAAAAGUGCCCUCCUCCAAGGGGCCGAUGAUAACUGGACGUCAAACUUCCAGUAAUCAUCCCAUAUUAGUUGUUAAGUAUAUGUACGUUUUCAGAACAAGUGUGUCCUUUGUUUUCUUAUUAUACAAGUCAUGCUUCAUGGCGAC